GAAAAUCCGGGCUUCAGCUGGUCUCUAAAUAAAAAUAUACACAUGUACUAGUAAUGUGAAAAUGGACGUCACACUUAACUUGGACAAAAAAAAACAUAAAAAAACUAACAAAGAUCAGAGUCUACUGUCCUUGGGACAGGCGCAAAAAUACGGCGGGGCUAAACAUGCUUUGUUAGAUCUCAACCCUCCCGCUAUACAAUUAUAUCUAGCUCAUGUAGAAUAAACAAACACAC
RNAcentral lists this long non-coding RNA (233 nucleotides) under Mytilus galloprovincialis (Mediterranean mussel). The record is from RNAcentral. Lineage: Eukaryota; Metazoa; Mollusca; Bivalvia; Mytilida; Mytilidae.